CUAGAGGUCCAACGACUCUGAUCACAUUGACUACAAACAUGCCAACAACAUCACCAACAGGAUCUUCAGCAGUUCCAUCUUCAAAUGACUUGAUACCUACUGGAGCCAGAAAUGGGAAACACACAACGCAUUUCACCAGUUUGUCUCUGCUGAAAAUUCUCCUACCAUCAUGUGGAUUUCUACUGCUUCUUCUGCUUGAUGUGAUGGGAACCUGGAAGCUGUGGCAAAUGCGGACCAAAACCACAGCAGCGUAAUGACUCUGGAGAUGAAGUGAGCUACAACUCUUUAGCAAUCUAACUCAAAUAGGAGUCGUGACUGAAAAGAGGAAAAUACAGAGAGAUCAUGAUUCACCAAGAAGGAGCCUCACCUUAUGUAUUUUUUUGAUGUGGUCAUAUUCCAAAGUUGAUUAUACAUGUACUGGGCACAGUUAUGGACCCCUGCAUGUCACUCCCCCAACAUGCUGACCUUGUGUUUAAAAUGGCCCAACAGCUCCUGCACCUUCCACACAGGCUUAUGAGUUUUAAUUUUGGU
Long non-coding RNA from Brienomyrus brachyistius, 531 nucleotides. RefSeq lists it as uncharacterized. NCBI's taxonomy places the organism in Eukaryota, Metazoa, Chordata, Actinopteri, Osteoglossiformes, Mormyridae. The record is from RefSeq and is a predicted model, not a curated record. The transcript is spliced from 4 exons.